RNAcentral lists this unclassified non-coding RNA (387 nucleotides) under uncultured fungus. RNAcentral describes it as "partial contains small subunit ribosomal RNA, internal transcribed spacer 1, and 5.8S ribosomal RNA". The stretch from base 1 to 73 matches the Rfam family "Eukaryotic small subunit ribosomal RNA", at positions 1759 to 1831 of the family's 1831-position model. The record is from RNAcentral. Lineage: Eukaryota; Fungi.
CCAAACUUGGUCAUUUAGAGGAAGUAAAAGUCGUAACAAGGUUUCCGUAGGUGAACCUGCGGAAGGAUCAUUAACACGUAUCCACGUAUCAACCCCUCGUGCAAACUACAACGUAAAGGUUGGUCUAGUCUACUUGCUCGCAUAGGUUCUAACGAUGGCGGGGUCGCCCCUCGGGGAGGCCUCGGGAGCCUGAGCGGGUAGGCGUUUUGACGACUGGCCGGCAUUUUCCCAUCGUUGGGAUGCCUACUCAUUUUUAACCCCUUUGUACUUCUUUGUACUGAACCUAUUCUUUCGGAGCUCGAAAGGGCGACGAAGAGAACAAUACGAAACAAAAGAACAACUCUUAGCAACGGAUAUCUUGGUUCUCGCAUCGAUGAAGAACGCAGC